Long non-coding RNA from Glycine soja, 1264 nucleotides. RefSeq lists it as uncharacterized. The record is from RefSeq and is a predicted model, not a curated record. The transcript is spliced from 8 exons. Lineage: Eukaryota; Viridiplantae; Streptophyta; Magnoliopsida; Fabales; Fabaceae.
UUCUCUUUCUCACUCUCUGUCUUAGAUUUGCGAAUGUCGUGACUCUUUGUUUCUCACGAUUAGAUAUGCUACCAACCCUCACGUUUUUCCCCCCUCGCAUUCUCGCUCCACCAGCCCCUAAUGGAAGAAGCAUAGCCCCAACCCAGACUCCUCUGUCGUGAGACGUUGACGCUUCUCAUGGGAUGCCCUGACCUGGAGGAAACUAAAAACGAGGAUCCGAAGUUAAUGGGGACACUAGAUGAAGGGACAACUAUCAUUUGCCCCAUCUACAUCGUAAACAUCUCCUCCAUGAACCCUUUGCCUCAUCUCAGCAUGAAAGGCACUCCCAUCGAAUUUUGUUUCAGGACAUAACCACGCUACUUCUUGAUACAAAGGCUUUCAAAGAAACCAUUGACUUGUUUGUUGAGAGGCAUAGAGAUCAAAACAUCAAUGUUGUCGUACUACAAUCUUCCUGCUUACUACAAACGUGAAAUGGAAAAAGAGAUGAAAAAAGGUUUUAAGAAGGUCCAGGCAACAGAGCGCACUAUUUUCAAUGAUGAAGAACAACACAUAUUAUUCUUUGGAAAGUUUCCCCUCACCACAACAAAUCUUCAACUCAUCAAGAAAACCAAAGAUAAUUUUCAAGUAAACUUAUUGGACAUGAAGGUUAACCUGUAUCUGUCUUUGAUGACAGGAGCUAUUCUUAAGUUUGACUAAGUUGUGUUGAGAUUUGUUGUUGCUCGCACCUUCAGCAAGAUAUGAAGCUUUACCAUGAAGACUGCAUGCAGUAAGCAUGAGAUCAUCAUCCAGACAAAUCCAUAGAACUCUUCAAUAAUGGAAUCUGGAAGUGUUCGUGCUCCUCUUGAUGAAGAGUUAAUUCUAAAGGAAUGAUGGGCUAUGGGAAAACCAUGGUGGGGAAGAUAAUGUCGCAAGUAAGCAGGUUAUUCAUUUUGUGAUAGGUUAGUAUGUUAAUUAUUUGUAAGAAUUUUAAAGUGGACUCUAGACUCAAUUACCAAGCAGUUGUUAAUUCCUGCACCUCCAAGUUGCUUCCCGCACCCUGUCUAGAAUGUUUAUUUUACAUUUUGAAUUGGUCAUUCUCGAAGCCAUUAAGGAGGUGUAGGAAGCAACUUGGUAGGUGCAAGAAGUAAUAGCCUUUUGAAAUAAGGAGGACAGUUGGAAAGCAUUAUGAUUUUAUUUGUUAUACUCUUUAGUUAAUGUUUAGUUGUUUUUAACUUUUUGAUUCUCCUGUUUCUUUAAUCUCAUCUAGCAUCCUCAUUGUCAUCUA